AUCCAGAUGACGAGUCCUCGAUAGGACGAAACGCGUGUCCUCGAU
Molecule: non-coding RNA, 45 nt
Organism: Schistosoma curassoni
Lineage: Eukaryota; Metazoa; Platyhelminthes; Trematoda; Strigeidida; Schistosomatidae
Source: Rfam